CCAAUUUUGGCGGCCCCAACAAUUAUGUUCCGAAAAUUACAGUUAGCUGAAUUGUAAUAUUGUGACUAUAGUGUUGCUAGAGAACUGAUCGACAAUAGUGUCAACUAGGAUUUGACACAUCUCCACUUGCAAGGCUACAACCAGAUAUAGUCCUUAGAUUGAUUAAUUACACACACGUACAAGGAAAUAUAUCACUUGAAAUGUGUGAUUUGCAUCGAGAAGAACACCGAGAUAGGAUCAAAGCAUGCGCACUGCUUUAUAGUCUACAUCAACAAACCGUUGGCGAGCAUGUUGAGACCAUGAGCCCACGUGGGACCUCCAAAGAACUUGAAAAUCACGGACAUUGCCAGCAAGGUUGUGGUGAAUUAAAGAGAUUUAAUCAAUCCAGAGAUGUUGUAAAUUGAUACAAUUGAACCUCAUACUUGGAGAGACGAUGCCGUUGACUUCCGCAACGAUGAGCAAGGUGGCGAAUACCCGCUAGAGAGUGGAGAACUUCUAGCACCACUCGACAGCCAGAUCAUCAACCAUGUAAGGUCCACUGGGUCCAGAUGUGCAAGGCAAACACGCAGAGGUCUUCGAUAGGCUUGUGCAGACGGAGCUUACAGCCAGAUCCAAGCGGAUACACCAGCCAUAGCUGGCCCUAUGCUGGGUGGCGGCAUGUGUGAGCAUGAGCUUGACAUGAACGUGAGGUAUAGAUGAUUGACGAAGAAUGACUUCGUUGUAUCCAUCGACGCCAUACCCUUUGCCAAAACAAACUACCUUCUCUUGUGUCCAUGAACUUUUGUUAGCGUUUAGUGAAUCAUGCAAUAGCUACAAGAUAGCUUGUUGGGGGAGUUUGACUGGUGCUGGUGUUACAUGUAUGUACUUUGUGUCUGAAAUGGAUGGAUGGGUGUUGUAC
Triticum dicoccoides is the source of this 898-nucleotide long non-coding RNA. RefSeq lists it as uncharacterized. The record is from RefSeq and is a predicted model, not a curated record. The transcript is spliced from 4 exons. NCBI's taxonomy places the organism in Eukaryota, Viridiplantae, Streptophyta, Magnoliopsida, Poales, Poaceae.